GAAGAUUCUACACACGAAGAAUUUGCUGUGAGUUUUCCUUUGGUGCUUCUCUUUCGAUGAAACGGCCGCCUCGUCCAACUUUCUUCCAAGCACACAGCACCAAGAAGUGGAGUACUUGAAUUCAAAUCGUUUCUAGAAGGAACAAAAUACUUAUAUCUGUGAGUAAAAUUCCUGUUGUGGCUCUUGGUCCACUUUACAAUAGAAAAGAUCAUGGAGAGAC
This is a long non-coding RNA of Selaginella moellendorffii, 220 nucleotides long. RefSeq lists it as uncharacterized. The transcript has 2 exons. The record is from RefSeq and is a predicted model, not a curated record. NCBI's taxonomy places the organism in Eukaryota, Viridiplantae, Streptophyta, Lycopodiopsida, Selaginellales, Selaginellaceae.